GGUGCUUCCCCGCUCCCGUCUUCCUCCUUCCGUUCGCCCAGCCCCCUCUAAAAUUCGGUCGAUGCCCUACUUGUGCGCGCGCCGACUUCCCACCUCCAUCGCGAGCCGGUGCUUCCCCGCUGCCGUCUUCCUCCUUCUCCUCUGAGAUCAAAUGAUUGCGACCAAGAGAUCGUUGCAAUGGAUGCUGGGAAGGGCGAUUGGGGCGAGGAGCAUGUGCGCCCUUCCCCACAAAUCCGCCCCCUCCUCUUCCGAGGAACUGAUGAGAAUGGAACACCAGUAUAGCGCUCAUAAGUAAGCUAUGUUGUUGUACCCCACACCACUCCCCUUCUUAGAUCUCAAAUUCUUGCGGCCUUGAUCUAAUGCUUUCCUCACUUAGAUCCUCUGUUAUUUAUGUAGAUUUAUUAUAUUUGGUUUUGUUGGAUGUCGAUGCUACCAGGUCUCUGACUCGGUCGAUCUUGGUUUUGUUGGGAAGGAAGAAAUGUUUGUCAAUGUUUCUGUGUUUUGUUUAUGGGUUUAUCUAUGGUUUUGACAAGUCUGGUUGGUGCAUGAUGAUAUGCUGAUUGAAAUUGGAGGGUUGCCAUGGCUUUUAAGAGUUAGUGAUGCUGAUUUUCAGCUGAUGCUAAUUUUUGAUACGAUGAGAAUUGGUGCUAUUCUUUCUUUGUUGUUUGGCUUUUUGCUCAGUAAACUUGGAAUUUUUGGGCUUGGUUUGAUCUGCUGCUGUAGUUUGUGGUAGUCGUAUAAACCGGUGAUGAAUCAAGGCUUUGCUCUUGUAUACAGCAGUACUAAUGUUGGAGCUUCUAAUACACUUGAUACCUGUUUAGAAGCAACAAAAUACUUAGUUGGCUUUUUUCUGAUCAACUUCAUGCUCUGAUAUGUUGGCUGUCUCUAUAGUGGUCGUCUUCUGCAUGUGCGCUUUUAAUAGUCCACGCUGCAUUGCAAGUUCUAACUUUGUCUCAUGAAAAACCAUGAAAUUAGGUUUACAUAUAAGGACAUUGAAACAUGUGUAACUAUAUAUUGAAGAGAUUGUAGGAGUCUGUUGAUGAUAGUGCUGAUUCUGCUGAAGAACAUUUCCACAUUUGAUACGCUUGUGAGGAGACAGAGACUUGGAUGGAUGUUGAAGGGUUAGGGUAGUGGAUUCAUGGACUUUAUAUAACGUACAUGGAAGUUGUGGAAAGGAAUAGAGAUGGCAUUUUGUUGGAUCUAAGCAUUAUCUUAUAUGUCUUUGUUGGUUCUAGAGGAAAUAUAUGGCGAUGAGGCUGGGCUGGGCUUGGAGCAUGGCUUUUUUUUACCCCUGGUUACCUAAUUAGUCAAAAGUUGCUUCCUUAGUUAUCAAGACAAAUGAGAUGACUUGGUUGGGGUCCCCAAGCCCCAAGGAGACGAUGAACCAAAGCUGACGAGAGGGAUCCCUUCAAAUUGUGGGAACUGUAGUUGUCUCUGCCAGUUGGAUCACUAGUCCGGCAACAACUGUGCAUUUCAAAGCUUCAACUGCAAAUGAAAAGGUUUGCUUCGGAAAUUACAAAAAAAAACCCAGAGAGAGAGAGAGAGAGAGAUAGAGAGAGAGGGGCUUUUGUGGGGUGGGGGGUACCUGCAGUCUGAGCUUAUUCGCAUGGAAGAUUUUAAGAUACAGAUGCAAUGCUUGAUGAAUCAGAAGUCAUGGGAACAAGGAAUUAAAUUAACAUCGACGGACAUGCAUCGCACGUUCUAUACACCACAAGAAUAAGUACUUCAUAUUUAUUCAUGUCGUAGCAUGAUUUUGCUAAGCCAGCAAGCUACAAUUUGUACUUAUUUUCUAAUCUAUCUCGAAUUAGUUUACGGAAACAUAGAUCAUCACAUUAUAAUUCCCAAAUCCUAUUCAUAAAUUAUUUCAAUAUUAUUUCAGGUUCUUUUUGUUGGAAAUUUUAUUCAUGAUGCACAGAAGGAUCAGCUGCAGAGUAGUUACUCUAAUAAAACAACAUGUGUGAGUAACUUUCCUCUAAAAGAAAAAAAGAAGAAGAUGACUCACUUUGAUAGCAUCAUUCCUCAAGUCUUGGAUAUGUUCUAUUGCUACUUUCAAGGUCAACAUUAUUUCAAUCAUAUACUUUUGUUAUUGUUGCUUAGCAUCUACUUUAUUUUAUGGUUCUGUGAAGUUUACAUUGGAGAAGAGGACGGUCACUCUUAUGUGGAUCUUUUCGAACUAAGAUGUUGUGCACGCUAGAUGACUUCUUUCCUUGUUUCUUUCACUCUUUAAACAUUAAGGGUUCUGCUUCACUACAACUGCACUUGCUCUCAGUUCAGGCUAGUUAGCUUUCAAGGCAUUUUGUAUUUUGAGCUACAAGUUUAUCAUGGUUCCAAUUGAAGGCUUAAUUUUAAAGGGUAGCCAUUGGUUGGUCCUUAAAUCAUGUGUCUUCUUUAAAGUGCGCAACACAAGUUUGUUUCAUGUUUGACUGUUUAUAUAUAUGAGCUCAGGGGAGAUCAUGCACCUGGAUAUCUGAUAUCUGGUCAUUACGCUAUUGAUUAACUUCAAAUCAAUUUUUCCUGCAGGUACUAGGGCCUAACAUCUUUUGUUGGUUAUGCCCUGUAUCAAAGUUCAAAGGCUCUGGUCUCCGAUUUCCCACUGCAUUUGACCUUCCAAUAUCUACAACACUAACUUGACGUAUCAGGUGGCAAAGAUAAGAGUAAUUUGUCUAUAGAAGAUGGAAACCAUGUAAAUUUUUGUGGUUGAGCCUCGCUUGGGAGUGGCACUUACAAUCGUGAAGUGCUUGCCCUACGUUUUUGGUCUGACACGAGGGCUUCAAGUUACUUCUGUGGGCUGCUUAUAAACUACAGGAAGGGUAAGCAGAUGGAGUGCAUCAUAAUUAUUAUAUUGCUAUAUUGUAUUUGAAGAAUAGUUGGAAGAAGGAACAAAAAUUGUACCUUAUGCAUCAUGCAGGUUAUAUACUAGUAUUAACUUUAAAAUAUAGCCCCCAUAUCGUAGAUUGUGUACUUAGGAAUUUGAGAUGUAUAUUUUUAGAAUGUUUUUGAAGUACAAUGUAAUCAAAUAUUAUAAUAUGAAUGUAAUCAAAGUUCUUGUUUGUGA
This is a non-coding RNA of Phoenix dactylifera (date palm), 3055 nucleotides long. The record is from RefSeq and is a predicted model, not a curated record. NCBI's taxonomy places the organism in Eukaryota, Viridiplantae, Streptophyta, Magnoliopsida, Arecales, Arecaceae.